GGUAGUUUAGUUUAAUAAAACUUAUAGAUUGCAAAUCUUUAGAUGUGAAUUUAUCACAACUACCU
RNAcentral lists this transfer RNA (65 nucleotides) under Scapholeberis mucronata. RNAcentral describes it as "tRNA-Cys". It matches the Rfam family "tRNA". Rfam says of the family: Transfer RNA (tRNA) molecules are approximately 80 nucleotides in length. Their secondary structure includes four short double-helical elements and three loops (D, anti-codon, and T loops). The record is from RNAcentral. Lineage: Eukaryota; Metazoa; Arthropoda; Branchiopoda; Diplostraca; Daphniidae.